This 459-nucleotide ribosomal RNA is filed under the name uncultured bacterium. Its description in RNAcentral is "partial 16S ribosomal RNA". It matches the Rfam family "Bacterial small subunit ribosomal RNA", at positions 338 to 795 of the family's 1533-position model. The record is from RNAcentral.
CCUACGGGAGGCAGCAGUGAGGAAUAUUGGUCAAUGGCCGGGAGGCUGAACCAGCCAAGUCGCGUGAGGGAAGACGGCCCUACGGGUUGUAAACCUCUUUUGUCAGGGAGCAAGGUGCAGGUCGGGACCUGCUGUGAGAGUACCUGAAGAACAAGCAUCGGCUAACUCCGUGCCAGCAGCCGCGGUAAUACGGAGGAUGCGAGCGUUAUCCGGAUUUAUUGGGUUUAAGGGGUGCGCAGGCGGAGGCACAAGUCAUCGGUAAAAUCGCGGGGCUCAACCCCGCUCCGCCGUUGAAACUGUGGCCCUUGAGUGCGCGAAGGGUAGGCGGAAUGCGUGGUGUAGCGGUGAAAUGCAUAGAUAUCACGCAGAACUCCGAUCGCGAAGGCAGCCUACCGGCGCGCAACUGACGCUCAUGCACGAAAGCGUGGGUAUCGAACAGGAUUAGAUACCCCAGUAGUC